RNAcentral lists this ribosomal RNA (297 nucleotides) under uncultured bacterium. RNAcentral describes it as "partial 16S ribosomal RNA". It matches the Rfam family "Bacterial small subunit ribosomal RNA", at positions 475 to 776 of the family's 1533-position model. The record is from RNAcentral.
CUAUGCGCCUUGCCAGCCCGCUCAGGUGUGCCAGCCGCCGCGGUAAUACGUAGGUGGCAAGCGUUGUCCGGAAUUACUGGGUGUAAAGGGAGCGCAGGCGGGAAGCCAAGUCAGCUGUGAAAACUACGGGCUUAACUUGUAGACUGCAGUUGAAACUGGUUUUCUUGAGUGAAGUAGAGGUUGGCGGAAUUCCGAGUGUAGCGGUGAAAUGCGUAGAUAUUCGGAGGAACACCGGUGGCGAAGGCGGCCAACUGGGCUUUAACUGACGCUGAGCUCGAAAGUGUGGGAGCAAACAGG